This 361-nucleotide ribosomal RNA is filed under the name uncultured bacterium. RNAcentral's name for it is "bacterial SSU rRNA". It matches the Rfam family "Bacterial small subunit ribosomal RNA", at positions 29 to 372 of the family's 1533-position model. The record is from RNAcentral.
AACGAACGCUGGCGGCGUGGAUUAGGCAUGCAAGUCGAACGCGAAAGAGGGGGUAACUCCUCGAGUAGAGUGGCGAACGGGUGAGUAACACGUGAGAAACCUGCCUUCAGCAGGGGGAUAACACUCCCAACGGGGUGCUAAUACCGCAUGAGACCACGGAUUCGCAUGGAUCUGGGGUCAAAGGUGGCCUCUGCUUGCAAGCUACCGGCUGAAGAUGGUCUCGCGUCCCAUUAGCUAGUUGGUGGGGUAAUGGCCUACCAAGCGACGAUGGGUAGCUGGUCUGAGAGGAUGGUCAGCCACACUGGGACUGAGAUACGGCCCAGACUCCUACGGGAGGCAGCAGUCGAGAGGCUUUGGCAAU